GCACGGGUGACAGAGCGGCUAUGUGCGGGACUGCAGAUCCUGAUACCCGAGUUCAAAUCUCGGCCUGUGCU
RNAcentral lists this transfer RNA (71 nucleotides) under Candidatus Poseidoniales archaeon. RNAcentral's name for it is "tRNA-Cys". It matches the Rfam family "tRNA". From Rfam's summary of the family: Transfer RNA (tRNA) molecules are approximately 80 nucleotides in length. Their secondary structure includes four short double-helical elements and three loops (D, anti-codon, and T loops). The record is from RNAcentral. Lineage: Archaea; Methanobacteriati; Thermoplasmatota; Candidatus Poseidoniia; Candidatus Poseidoniales. RNAcentral also lists the same sequence under 1 other name.